UCCUACGGGGGGCAGCAGUAGGGAAUCUUCCACAAUGGGCGAAAGCCUGAUGGAGCAACGCCGCGUGGGUGAAGAAGGUCUUCGGAUCGUAAAACCCUGUUGUUAGAGAAGAAAGUGCGUGAGAGUAACUGUUCACGUUUCGACGGUAUCUAACCAGAAAGCCACGGCUAACUACGUGCCAGCAGCCGCGGUAAUACGUAGGUGGCAAGCGUUAUCCGGAUUUAUUGGGCGUAAAGGGAACGCAGGCGGUCUUUUAAGUCAGCGGUCAAAGCCCGGGGCUCAACCCCGGCCCGCCGUUGAAACUG
This 305-nucleotide ribosomal RNA is filed under the name uncultured bacterium. RNAcentral describes it as "bacterial SSU rRNA". It matches the Rfam family "Bacterial small subunit ribosomal RNA", at positions 337 to 635 of the family's 1533-position model. The record is from RNAcentral.